GAUGAACGCUGGCGGCGUGCCUAAUACAUGCAAGUCGAGCGAACGGACGAGAAGCUUGCUUCUCUGAUGUUAGCGGCGGACGGGUGAGUAACACGUGGAUAACCUACCUAUAAGACUGGGAUAACUUAGGGAAACCGGAGCUAAUACCGGAUAAUAUUUUGAACCGCAUGGUUCAAAAGUGUAAGACGGUCUUGCUGUCACUUAUACAUGGAUCCGGGCUGCAUUGGCUAGUUCGUAAGGUAACGGCUUACCAAGGCAACGAUGCAUAGCCGACCGGAGAGGGUGAUCGGCGACAGUGGGAGUGAGACGCGGUCCAGAGUCCUACGGGAGGCACCAGCAGCGAAUCGACCGCACAGGGCGAAAGCCUGACGGAGCGGCGCAGCGUGGGUGCUGCAGGUCUUCGGAUCGUAAAACUCUGUUAUGAGGGAAGAACAUAUGUGUAAGGAACUGUGCACAUCUUGACGGUACCUAAUCAGAAAGCCACGGCUAACUACGUG
This 497-nucleotide ribosomal RNA is filed under the name uncultured bacterium. RNAcentral describes it as "partial 16S ribosomal RNA". It matches the Rfam family "Bacterial small subunit ribosomal RNA", at positions 28 to 507 of the family's 1533-position model. The record is from RNAcentral.